RNAcentral lists this ribosomal RNA (762 nucleotides) under Streptomyces hyderabadensis. RNAcentral describes it as "bacterial SSU rRNA". It matches the Rfam family "Bacterial small subunit ribosomal RNA", at positions 9 to 787 of the family's 1533-position model. Lineage: Bacteria; Bacillati; Actinomycetota; Actinomycetes; Kitasatosporales; Streptomycetaceae. The record is from RNAcentral.
GAGUUUGAUCCUGGCUCAGGACGAACGCUGGCGGCGUGCUUAACACAUGCAAGUCGAACGAUGAACCACUUCGGUGGGGAUUAGUGGCGAACGGGUGAGUAACACGUGGGCAAUCUGCCCUGCACUCUGGGACAAGCCCUGGAAACGGGGUCUAAUACCGGAUACUGACGCUCGCAGGCAUCUGUGAGGGUCGAAAGCUCCGGCGGUGCAGGAUGAGCCCGCGGCCUAUCAGCUUGUUGGUGAGGUAAUGGCUCACCAAGGCGACGACGGGUAGCCGGCCUGAGAGGGCGACCGGCCACACUGGGACUGAGACACGGCCCAGACUCCUACGGGAGGCAGCAGUGGGGAAUAUUGCACAAUGGGCGAAAGCCUGAUGCAGCGACGCCGCGUGAGGGAUGACGGCCUUCGGGUUGUAAACCUCUUUCAGCAGGGAAGAAGCGAAAGUGACGGUACCUGCAGAAGAAGCGCCGGCUAACUACGUGCCAGCAGCCGCGGUAAUACGUAGGGCGCAAGCGUUGUCCGGAAUUAUUGGGCGUAAAGAGCUCGUAGGCGGCUUGUCGCGUCGGUUGUGAAAGCCCGGGGCUUAACCCCGGGUCUGCAGUCGAUACGGGCAGGCUAGAGUUCGGUAGGGGAGAUCGGAAUUCCUGGUGUAGCGGUGAAAUGCGCAGAUAUCAGGAGGAACACCGGUGGCGAAGGCGGAUCUCUGGGCCGAUACUGACGCUGAGGAGCGAAAGCGUGGGGAGCGAACAGGAUUAGAUACCU